RNAcentral lists this ribosomal RNA (241 nucleotides) under uncultured bacterium. RNAcentral's name for it is "partial 16S ribosomal RNA". It matches the Rfam family "Bacterial small subunit ribosomal RNA", at positions 15 to 235 of the family's 1533-position model. The record is from RNAcentral.
GAUCCUGGCUCAGGACGAACGCUGGCGGCGCGCCUAACACAUGCAAGUCGAGCGAAGCGCUUGCGAAUGAUCCUUCGGGUGAUUUUGCUGGUGACUGAGCGGGCGACGGGGUGAAGGUAACGCGUGGGUAACCUGCCUCAUACAGGGGGAUAACAGUUAGAAAUGACUGCUAAUACCGCAUAAGCGCACAGUACCACAUGGUACGGUGUGAAAAACUCCGGUGGUAUGAGAUGGACCCGCG